GACGAACGCUGGCGGCGUGCUUAACACAUGCAAGUCGAACGGAAAGGCCCUGCUUUUGUGGGGUGCUCGAGUGGCGAACGGGUGAGUAACACGUGAGUAACCUGCCCUUGCCUUUGGGAUAACUUCAGGAAACUGGGGCUAAUACCGGAUAGGAGCUCCUGCUGCAUGGUGGGGGUUGGAAAGUUUCGGCGGUUGGGGAUGGACUCGCGGCUUAUCAGCUUGUUGGUGGGGUAGUGGCUUACCAAGGCUUUGACGGGUAGCCGGCCUGAGAGGGUGACCGGCCACAUUGGGACUGAGAUACGGCCCAGACUCCUACGGGAGGCAGCAGUGGGGAAUAUUGCACAAUGGGCGGAAGCCUGAUGCAGCAACGCCGCGUGCGGGAUGACGGCCUGCGGGUUGUAAACCGCUUUCGCCUGUGACGAAGCGUGAGUGACGGUAAUGGGUAAAGAAGCACCGGCUAACUACGUG
This 468-nucleotide ribosomal RNA is filed under the name uncultured bacterium. Its description in RNAcentral is "partial 16S ribosomal RNA". It matches the Rfam family "Bacterial small subunit ribosomal RNA", at positions 28 to 507 of the family's 1533-position model. The record is from RNAcentral.